RNAcentral lists this ribosomal RNA (614 nucleotides) under uncultured bacterium. RNAcentral describes it as "bacterial SSU rRNA". The stretch from base 1 to 518 matches the Rfam family "Bacterial small subunit ribosomal RNA", at positions 338 to 873 of the family's 1533-position model. The record is from RNAcentral.
CCUACGGGAGGCAGCAGUGGGGAAUCUUGCGCAAUGGGCGAAAGCCUGACGCAGCCAUGCCGCGUGAAUGAUGAAGGUCUUAGGAUUGUAAAAUUCUUUCACCGGGGACGAUAAUGACGGUACCCGGAGAAGAAGCCCCGGCUAACUUCGUGCCAGCAGCCGCGGUAAUACGAAGGGGGCUAGCGUUGCUCGGAAUUACUGGGCGUAAAGGGAGCGUAGGCGGAUAGUUUAGUCAGAGGUGAAAGCCCAGGGCUCAACCUUGGAAUUGCCUUUGAUACUGGCUAUCUUGAGUAUGGGAGAGGUAUGCGGAACUCCGAGUGUAGAGGUGAAAUUCGUAGAUAUUCGGAAGAACACCAGUGGCGAAGGCGGCAUACUGGCCCAUUACUGACGCUGAGGCUCGAAAGCGUGGGGAGCAAACAGGAUUAGAUACCCUGGUAGUCCACGCUGUAAACGAUGAGUGCUAGUUGUCGGCGAUGCAUGCAUGUCGGUGACGCAGCUACGCAUAAGACGACUCCGCCGUCGGGGAGGUACGGUCGCGAAGUAAGUUAAACGUUACGAAAGUAAAGUUAGUUACGGCGUUGAGACGNGCCGACGGACGACGACGAGGGAGGAGG